UNCCUCAUCACAGAAUUUAAGGAUGCCAAACC
Molecule: non-coding RNA, 32 nt
Filed under: Mus musculus (house mouse)
Lineage: Eukaryota; Metazoa; Chordata; Mammalia; Rodentia; Muridae
Source: RNAcentral